UGGCUGAAUGGAAAAAAGUUCAGUUUAGGGUUUAAAACCCCUAAUGCUGACUAAAGGAAAAAUUCAGUUUGGAGUUUAAAACCCAAAUGCUGAUUGCAUGGAAAAGCUCAGUUUAGGGUUUAAAAUCCUAAUGCUGGCUGAAUGGAAAAAGUUCAGUUUAGGGUUUAAAACCCUAAUGCUGAAUAAGAAAAACUUCAGUUUAGGGUUUAAAACCCUAAUGCCGAUUGCAUGAAAAAGCUCAGUUUAGGGUUUAAAACCCUAAUGUUGGCUGAAUGGAAAAGUUCAGUUUAGGGUUUAAAACCCUAAUGCUGACUAAAGGAAAAAUUCAGUUUAGGGUUUAAAACCCUAAUGUUGUUUAAAGGAAAAAUUCAGUUUAGGGUUUUAAAACCCUAAUGUUGAUCAAAGGAAGAAUUCAGUUUAGGGUUUAAAACCCUAAUGCUGAUAGCAUGGAAAAGUUUAGUUUAGGGUUUAAAACCCUAAUGCUGGCUGAAUGGAAAAAGUUCAGUUUAGGGUUUAAAACCCUAAUGUUGACUAAAGGAAAAGUUCAGUUUAGGGUUUAAAACCCUAAUGCUGACUAAAAGGAAAAAUUCAGUUUAGGGUUUAAAACCCUAAUGCUGACUGCAUGGAAAAGCUCAGUUUAGGGUUUAAAACACUAAUGCUGGCUGAAUGGAAAAAGCUCAGUUUAGGGUUUAAAACCCUAAUGCUGGCUGAAGGGAAAAAGUUCAGUUUAGGGUUUAAAACCCUAAUGCUAACUAAAGGGAAAAUUCAGUUUAGGGUUUAAAACCCUAAUGCUGAUUGCAUGGAAAAGCUCAGUUUAGGGUUUAAAACCCUAAUGCUGGCUGAAUGGAAAAAAGUUCAGUUUAGGGUUUAAAACCCUAAUGCUAACUAAAGGGAAAAUUCAGUUUAGGGUUUAAAACCCUAAUGCUGAUUGCAUUGAAAAGCUCAGUUUAGGGUUUAAAACCCUAAUGCUGGCUGAAUGGAAAAAAGUUCAGUUUAGGGUUUAAAACCCUAAUGCUGACUAAAGGAAAAAUUCAGUUUAGGGUUUAAAACCCUAAUGCUGAUUGCAUGGAAAAGCUCAGUUUAGGGUUUAAAACCCUAAUGCUGGCUGAAAGGAAAAAAGUUCAGUUUAGGGUUUAAAACCCUAAUGCUGACUAAAGGAAAAAUUCAGUUCAGGGUUUAAAACCCUGAUGCUGAUCAAAGGAAAAAGUUCAGUUCAGGGUUUAAAACCCUAAUGCUGAUUAAAAGGAAAAAUUCAGUUUAGGGUUUAAAACCCUAAUGCUGACUGCAUGGAAAAGCUCAGUUUAGGGUUUAAAACCCUAAUGCUGGCUGAAUGGAAAGAGUUCAGUUUAGGGUUUAAAACCCUAAUGUUGACUAAAUAGAAAAGCUCAGUUUAGAGUUUAAAACCCUAAUGCUGGCUGAACGGAAAAAACUCAGUUUAUGGUUUAAAACUCUAAUGCUAGCUGAAUGGAAAAAAGUUCAGUUUAGGGUUUAAAACCCUAAUGCUGACUAAAGGAAAAAUUCAGUUUAGGGUUUAAAACCCUAAUGCUGACUAAAUGGAAAAGCUCAGUUUAAGGUUUAAAACCCUAAUGCUGGCUGAAUGGAAAAAGUUCAGUUUAGGGUUUAAAACCCUAAUGCUGACUAAAGGAAAAGUUUAGUUUAGGGUUUAAAACCCUAAUGCUGACUAAAAGGAAAAAUUCAGUUUAGGGUUUAAAACCCUAAUGCUGACUGCAUGGAAAAUUCAGUUUAGGGUUUAAAACCCUAAUGCUGAUUGCAUGGAAAAGCUCAGUUUAGGGUUUAAAACCCUAAUGCUGAUUGCAU
RNAcentral lists this long non-coding RNA (1818 nucleotides) under Nicotiana tabacum (common tobacco). RNAcentral's name for it is "long non-coding RNA (NTAB_LNC000979)". Lineage: Eukaryota; Viridiplantae; Streptophyta; Magnoliopsida; Solanales; Solanaceae. The record is from RNAcentral.